GAUGAACGCUGACAGAAUGCUUAACACAUGCAAGUCAACUGUGGCGGAAGGGUGAGUAACGCGUAAAGAACUUGCCUAACAGAUAGGGACAACAUUUGGAAACGAAUGCUAAUACCUGAUACUGUGAGAGAGCUUUGCGUCCCAUUAGCUAGUUGGAGAGGUAACGGCUCACCAAGGCGAUGAUGGGUAGCCGGCCUGAGAGGGUGAUCGGCCACAAGGGGACGGGUACACGGCUCUUACUCCUACGGGAGGCAGAAGGGGGGAAUAUGGGACAAUGUACCAAAGUCUGUUCCAGCAAUUCUGUGUUCACGAUGAAGUUUUCGGAAUGUAAAGUGCUUUCAGUUGGGAAGCAGUCCCAACAGAAGAAGUGACGGCUAAAUACGUGCCAGCAGCCGCGGUAAUAC
Molecule: ribosomal RNA, 404 nt
Filed under: uncultured bacterium
Lineage: Bacteria
Description: partial 16S ribosomal RNA
Rfam family: Bacterial small subunit ribosomal RNA
Source: RNAcentral